UGUAUAAUGGGUCAGCGACUUAUAUUCUGUAGCAAGGUUAACCGAAUAGGGGAGCCGAAGGGAAACCGAGUCUUAACUGGGCGUUAAGUUGCAGGGUAUAGACCCGAAACCCGGUGAUCUAGCCAUGGGCAGGUUGAAGGUUGGGUAACACUAACUGGAGGACCGAACCGACUAAUGUUGAAAAAUUAGCGGAUGACUUGUGGCUGGGGGUGAAAGGCCAAUCAAACCGGGAGAUAGCUGGUUCUCCCCGAAAGCUAUUUAGGUAGCGCCUCGUGAAUUCAUCUCCGGGGGUAGAGCACUGUUUCGGCAAGGGGGUCAUCCCGACUUACCAACCCGAUGCAAACUGCGAAUACCGGAGAAUGUUAUCACGGGAGACACACGGCGGGUGCUAACGUCCGUCGUGAAGAGGGAAACAACCCAGACCGCCAGCUAAGGUCCCAAAGUCAUGGUUAAGUGGGAAACGAUGUGGGAAGGCCCAGACAGCCAGGAUGUUGGCUUAGAAGCAGCCAUCAUUUAAAGAAAGCGUAAUAGCUCACUGGUCGAGUCGGCCUGCGCGGAAGAUGUAACGGGGCUAAACCAUGCACCGAAGCUGCGGCAGCGACACUGUG
RNAcentral lists this ribosomal RNA (608 nucleotides) under Escherichia coli. Its description in RNAcentral is "partial 23S ribosomal RNA". It matches the Rfam family "Bacterial large subunit ribosomal RNA", at positions 609 to 1218 of the family's 2925-position model. The record is from RNAcentral. Lineage: Bacteria; Pseudomonadati; Pseudomonadota; Gammaproteobacteria; Enterobacterales; Enterobacteriaceae.